Molecule: ribosomal RNA, 1250 nt
Filed under: Candidatus Phytoplasma fraxini
Lineage: Bacteria; Bacillati; Mycoplasmatota; Mollicutes; Acholeplasmatales; Acholeplasmataceae
Description: bacterial SSU rRNA
Rfam family: Bacterial small subunit ribosomal RNA
Source: RNAcentral
GAAACGACUGCUAAGACUGGAUAGGAAACAGAAAGGCAUCUUUUUGUUCUUAAAAGACCUUUUUCGGAAGGUAUGCUUAAAGAUGGGCUUGCGCCACAUUAGUUAGUUGGUAGGGUAAUGGCCUACCAAGACGAUGAUGUGUAGCUGGACUGAGAGGUCGAACAGCCACAUUGGGACUGAGACACGGCCCAAACUCCUACGGGAGGCAGCAGUAGGGAAUUUUCGGCAAUGGAGGAAACUCUGACCGAGCAACGCCGCGUGAACGAUGAAGUAUUUCGGUAUGUAAAGUUCUUUUAUUGAAGAAGAAAAAAUAGUGGAAAAACUAUCUUGACGUUAUUCAAUGAAUAAGCCCCGGCUAACUAUGUGCCAGCAGCCGCGGUAAUACAUAGGGGGCGAGCGUUAUCCGGAAUUAUUGGGCGUAAAGGGUGCGUAGGCGGUUAGGAAAGUCUAUAAUUUAAUUUCAGUGCUUAACGCUGUCUUGUUAUAGAAACUACCUUGACUAGAGUUAGAUAGAGGCAAGCGGAAUUCCAUGUGUAGCGGUAAAAUGUGUAAAUAUAUGGAGGAACACCAGAAGCGUAGGCGGCUUGCUGGGUCUUGACUGACGCUGAGGCACGAAAGCGUGGGUAGCAAACAGGAUUAGAUACCCUGGUAGUCCACGCCGUAAACGAUGAGUACUAAGUGUCGGGGUAAAACUCGGUACUGAAGUUAACACAUUAGGUACUCCGCCUGAGUAGUACGUACGCAAGUAUGAAACUUAAAGGAAUUGACGGGACUCCGCACAAGCGGUGGAUCAUGUUGUUUAAUUCGAAGAUACACGAAAAAUCUUACCAGGUCUUGACAUGCUUUGCAAAGCUAUAGAAAUAUAGUGGAGGUUAUCAGGGACACAGGUGGUGCAUGGUUGUCGUCAGUUCGUGUCGUGAGAUGUUAGGUUAAGUCCUAAAACGAGCGCAACCCUUGUCGUUAAUUGCCAGCACGUAAUGGUGGGGACUUUAGCGAGACUGCCAAUUAAAAAUUGGAGGAAGGUGAGGAUUACGUCAAAUCAUCAUGCCCCUUAUGAUCUGGGCUACAAACGUGAUACAAUGGCUGUUACAAAGAGUAGCUGAAGCGCGAGUUUUUGGCAAAUCUCAAAAAAGCAGUCUCAGUUCGGAUUGAAGUCUGUAACUCGACUUCAUGAAGUUGGAAUCGCUGGUAAUCGCGAAUCAGCAUGUCGCGGUGAAUACGUUCUCGGGGUUUGUACACACCGCCCGUCA